RNAcentral lists this ribosomal RNA (254 nucleotides) under uncultured bacterium. RNAcentral describes it as "partial 16S ribosomal RNA". It matches the Rfam family "Bacterial small subunit ribosomal RNA", at positions 524 to 776 of the family's 1533-position model. The record is from RNAcentral.
GACGUAGGGCGCGAGCGUUGUCCGGAUUUAUUGGGCGUAAAGAGCUCGUAGGUGGCUUAGUAAGUCGGGUGUGAAACCUCCAGGCUCAACCUGGAGACGCCACCCGAUACUGCUAUAGCUUGAGUCCGGUAGGGGAGCGUGGAAUUCCUGGUGUAGCGGUGAAAUGCGCAGAUAUCAGGAGGAACACCAGCGGCGAAGGCGGCGCUCUGGGCCGGUACUGACACUGAGGAGCGAAAGCGUGGGGAGCAAACAGG